AGCGGUUGUUGCUCCCUGAGGGAGGAAACGGCUUUUUACGUCUCUUACACUAGAGCGUUCAUUUCUCUCGUUCCACGUUUCGGGUGCAGUACGGGGCCCAGAGCUCAGAAACGGCUCGUGAAACGCGACCAGAACAAUUGGAGUUUCGAACGCUGUGUGUGAUUGAGUUGAAUUAGAGGCACAUUAAGGUGUGUGCUUUGAGAAGUCAUUCCCAGGAGCUGUCCACGACAAAAGGAAUUCAUCAUCAUCGGCAGCUAGCUCCACCUCAAGGGACAGAACUACCCAAACUAGAAAUUUAUUCAUGUAUGUGACUUCAGCGGCAAGAAUGUUACUUGCCCAAAAUGGAAAGAAGUCGUCCCAGCAAAAGAAGACUGGAUACCUAAACUUAUGGAAUAUGCAGAAAUGAUGAAACUUACUGGAAAAGCAUUUGUUGCCCUUUAUCUCACAAAAAAAUAUAGUGGCAAGCGUCUCCAAAGAGCCUGUUUCUGUUCACCCGCUGAUCCCAUGUCCAACAGAGUUAAUAAGUUUGCAGCAGAGAGUGUCAGUGCUUGUGUGUGGCACCCAGGAGGAAGGCACGCUUGGCAAAUCCACACCGUGAUCAACUCCCGCCCGGAAACCAAUGUUCCCACUGUGGAAGGACGUGUGGAUCCAGAAUUGGCCUCCACAGUCACUUACGGACUCAUUGUUAAAACCGUGUUUAUGGAAGACAAUCUUACUCGGCUACGAGUGAUCACCGAAGAAGAGAAGAUUGCAAAGGUGUAUUGAGAUCUCUGUAGUGACUUCUGCAUCUGAGAUUACUACCUUGUACUUACAAAUAUAUGUUUAAUGAUUUCAUCAACUUGUUUAUUUUUGACCCCCAGUCGGGAAUCUAACUGUAUUCCCUACAAUACUAUCAAAUUAUAGGUUAAUCUUCUGGACAAUUACUCAUACCACAACCAAACAAGUCCAAGGCAAACAUCAGCCAUAAAGGAUUGGUUAUAUAGUUUGAGGUAUACAUUUUGGACAGUACCUUGUUGCUUCAGCUUGCUUUAUCCCAGUAGUAUAGAAAGGUGCAUCGUUGUUAUAUUCAUCAAAGACUCCCCAUCUGAGGUGAGCCCAUUCAUGGACAAACACUCUGCCUGUGGAAGACCAUUGACAAAGCUAAUUGUGACACUAUUCAGGUGUCCUGGGUACUAAAUACUAUGGAUCCCUUACUCAGAACCAAAUUAUUUACUCAACUUCUUGAUGGGAUACUACUGGGCUUUCCCUGUGAACCUCAAGCUAUUACAGAAAAAGGUAUUCCUCUGCUAUGUACAUUUUAUGCCAAUUGUUGAUGACAAGCUUUUAAGAGCCGAUAUGGAAAUGGAAUUAGCUUCCUGCAGUGAAACAGGAACAAGUUCAGCUGGCUUCAGAAAGCAAGCUUUUAUGGUCUGAAAAUGUUCAGAUGAACCUAACAUAAAAUAUUGCUAAUUCCUUAUAUAUAUAUAUUUAAAAAUAGUUUUUAUUAAGUUUCUUACAAAUAUAACACAUACUAAAACAAAAAAGAAAGAGACAAAAUCACAUAUAUAAACAAAAAAGAAAAUAGGAAAAAAACAAAAAAAUAUGUCAACAAAUACCUAGACAAUACAAAACAAAUUAAUUGGUUAUUUAAACUUCUAACGUCAUAAACAUAUUUUGGACUUCCUCUGAGCCCUCCCAUCUGAAUUUCCUUGUAUUUAAAUGUAGCAGUUUUCUAAUAUCAUUAUUAAAACACUGUGUUCCAAUUAAAAUAACUUGCUAAUUCCUUAUAUAAACUUAGGAGAUAUUAAGCAAAUAAAACCAAACCAUUCAUGGUUUCUCAGUUCUUGCUCUGUUUAUUGUCUUUUGAAACAUUGACAAUUUAAGACUGUAGUAAUAAAUACAAAUAAUUUAAGAUGGAUUAACAGGUACUACCUCGUGAUCCAUAAACAGCAUGCAAACUGUCAUUUGUCAGGAAAUUAGGAGUGAAAUGAAUGUAUCUUCCCUGUUCCCCACAUCCGCCAUACUGCAAGGUAUAGGGAUCAUCUCCAUAUUUCAGGUAAGGCUCUGCCACUAUGACAUCAGCCUAAAGUAAAAUAGAACUUGGUUGAAAGAUCACCAAAAUACCUUUGAUAUUAAUGCUAUAUGGUGGGUUUUGCCUCAGCAAACCACCCUCAGAUUUUUGUUCUGCAUAGAAAGGCACAAUUCUGGACCGCAGGGUUGAAUGGAAGUUUUUGCCUGAAACAAAAAUCUCUUAAAACCGUUGGGAUUCCAUAUUUCUUUUGAGUAAACACCUGCGUGUUUCAUGGGACAUGCAGCCCCAUGCUAUGCAGGUUGAUUCGGAAGAAAGACAUGAUGUGUUCAGUUGAGCUUAGGCCCAAUAUAUAGGAUUGCAGUGUAAUUUUCAAUAAAGAUGUGUACAGUCACAUGUUACAACAUAAGAGCCCUCAGGAUCACAUCAAGCAUAGUGCACCAAGCGAAGUGCUUAGAGGGCUGGGCUAGGAGACCAGGUUUUGAGCCCCCCACUCGGUCAUGAAGCUCACUGGGUGACUUUGGGCCAUUCACCGCUUCUCAGCCUAACCUACCUCACAGUUGUGCAGGUUAAAUGAGGAGGGAUAAACUGUGUACGCCACCUUAAGCCCCAUGGAGGUUAAGGUGGAAUAUGAAUGCAAUAAAUAACAUCAAGUCCAGCAUCCUGACCCUAACAGCAAUUACCUAGAAGCUGACAGACAGAAAAGCAACAGCUAGUAUUGAGAGACUCAUUCCUUUUCAAUGGGAAGUUACAUUGAGGUAUUAUGGCUAACAGUCAUGGCUAGAGAUAUUUUCCAUGAAUUUGUCUCAGCCCCUAUUAAAGCUACCAAAAUGUAAGCCCCGGAAUAUUUGAAGAAUUCUCCCCACCACUCCAAGCGAAUAUUAGAUCAGUCUUAUUUUGCAAUUUCUGCCCCAAUGUUUAUUAUUGUUAUUGUUAUUUGCCACAAUAUUCUUUUAAAUCCCUCAAGCACAUUUAAAUUUUAAUGCAUAUGCCUCACUUACCUUGUCAUAGGAUUCUAUAGUCACUCUUUCAUAUUCAGGUUUUGGUGCCCAUGUCAAAGGAAUUAUAACUUUUACAGACUUGAAAUAAAAUCUUUGUUCUGUAGCACUGAAGAGGUAAGCAGAUGCCUCUUUAAUCAUAUCCUACAAGGAAAAUAAUGAGUGUUCAGUGGCUAGCAUUCGCAUUCACACUUGCAGAAUGUGCAUUGGGUCUUUUCUGCCCUCCCUCCUGAACCUGGAGGUAUUUCAUUUGAAAAGACUGGGGGAUAGGCAGCCUUCCCUAACCUCCACUCUUUAAGUAGAAUAGAUGCCCUUCAAUAUGCUCCUAUUCUCUAAUGGUUUGAACAGCAACCUGACAUAAAGAAAUUCAGUAAACAAAACCAUUCUUAGUUUGGUGGAAAGCAAUGAGAAAAGUUGUGCCUCUUAACUUUCUGGGUGUGUAACCAUAUUGCUUAUUCUUGUUUGCACUGCAUAGAGUAUACAACCAUCUCUGUUUAGUGAAAAAGGCAUUAGUAAGCCUAAGAGACGAUUAACAGAAAAUUCCCAAGUGGGAUAUUCGUAUAUUUUGGGAAUUGUCUCCUCAAGAAAGCUUGUCUAGCACCUACCCUAGGAAUGGGUGUGUGUGUUAAUUUUUACUUUAUUUGCAUUUUAACGAGAAGCUAAUUUGCAUUUUCCAGACCAAUACAGUACAUGAACCCCAAACACCCCAGCCUUCAGAAUUUGCACUUUGCCAAAUUGUUCAGUGUAGUUCCCUAAAAAUGCAUCUAUUGGGGGAAAACAGCUACAGAAAUGCUGCCAGUGCCAUUAAUUAUAGAGCCGAAACAGCGCCACUAUUUCACAAGAGGGACUUAUAAGAAGGCUUGGAGUCAUCACAAGUUUGCAAAAAUGAAAAAAAAAUAUUCAGGAAAAGAAAAACCCCUUGAGGUUUGGGAUACACCUGAAAAACAGCCUAAUGAAAAUUAAAUGAUGGACUGUGGCAGAGACCAGGAGAAGGUAGAUUGGAUUAUCCUGGAGGAAGACAUAGUUGAAUAGAACAGGGAAGAGCAGCACCCCACACUUUGACAUUUUCUUAUGGGUCCCACCUAUUCUUGGGUGCAGGGGUGUCCAGUAGCACCUUGGAACCUAUGCUUACAAGAUGAACGCUGCAUUUUCCCAGCAUAUCACAGGUCCCUGAGGGGACAGUGAUUCAAUAUAUUCAGAAACAUCUAACCACCUUACCUUUAUGUUGUCGACAAUUUUGUUGUCUUCAGCUACUGCAGGAUUAAUUGCAAUGACAAUGUCUUCAAACCCACCGUUGUUGAGUUUUACCAUGGUACCCGUCGCCCCACGUAGGAAUUGUAACACCAACAGAAGAAGCCACCGACUGAACACCAUAUUUGCUUCUGCCACUUAGCCCUGUCCCACAGAAAGGACUAAUAGAACGGGAGGGCUAUUUAUGCAAGUGCAUAACUGCUUGGUUUAUGACAGGACUUUGUUCUGUCAAGGAAAUUCUGCUAUUUUUCUAUUUCCUGAUAGUGCCAUCUUCAGGUAACAAACUGGUGAAUCUUUAAGGAAUGUUGUAAUUUAAUCCAACCCUGCACUUCCUUGUUCUGCUCACCGUUAAUAGAUUGCAAACUUUUUUCUGAA
Long non-coding RNA from Podarcis raffonei (Aeolian wall lizard), 4632 nucleotides. RefSeq lists it as uncharacterized. The record is from RefSeq and is a predicted model, not a curated record. The transcript has 8 exons. NCBI's taxonomy places the organism in Eukaryota, Metazoa, Chordata, Lepidosauria, Squamata, Lacertidae.